Molecule: long non-coding RNA, 3637 nt
Filed under: Taeniopygia guttata (zebra finch)
Lineage: Eukaryota; Metazoa; Chordata; Aves; Passeriformes; Estrildidae
Description: lncRNA (ENSTGUG00000021759.1)
Source: RNAcentral
UCGAGUGUAGCCGAGGAGCCGAGUCUAACCGAGCCGGGCCCUGCCGAGCGCAGCAUCCCGGGCAGGGCGGGGCGCCGGGGCGGGCUCGGGGUGGAGCCGGGGCUCUGUGUGGCUCCCCCUCCUGUCCCUCUCUCUACCCCUCUUUCCUCCUCCCCGUAUUCCUCUUCUUUCUCUCUUUCCCGCAUUUCCCCCUCUCCCCAAAGCAGCUCCGUUCCCUCCCUUUCCCGCUACCCUUCCUUCCUCUUCCCCGUAUUCCUGUUCUUUGACCCCCAGACCGUCCCCUCCUCUCCCUCCCAAACCCGACCUCCCACUGCCCUCACUCCGUCCUGUCCCUGCCCCGCUACUCCGUUCUGUCCCUGCCCCGCUACUCCGUUCUAUUCCCCCUCUCUCCCUCCUCUGUCCACCGUCCCUCUUCCUUCCCUGCCGGCCUUUUCCUUCCCUUCCCGCUUUCCUCCACAGCCCGACCUCCCUCCCACCCUUCCGCAUGCCCCGCUCUCCCUCCUCUCUUCCCGUCGCCCUUCGCUUCUUUCCCCCGCAGCCGCGGGGCUCGGGGCGCGGAGAAUAAAGCCCCGAGGGCCGGAGCCCGGCGCCCCCCGGCCCUUGCGGGAGUCCCCGCACGGGGCCGGAGGCUCUCGGCGGAUCCCCCCGCGCCGCUCGGACACCGCCCGGCGCUGCCGGACCUGCGGCUCCGCCACCAUCGCGCUGAGAGCGGCCCCGCUCUGCGCCGUGCCGGCCGUGCCGCGUCCCCGCCGCCUCUGCCGCUCCCAAUUUCUGCCCCUGGCCUGCGACAGCGAGGCGGGGCGGGGGCUUCAAGCCUUCUGGGGGCUGCCCCCCCUUUCCUUUUGCGGCAGAGUCCCUUUCGGGGGGGAUGGAGGUGUGGAAAGGGCUGGAAGGGAGUGCUGGGCUGCUGUCCAGGGCAGUUGGACUCGUUCUGUGCCUUCUUUGGGGGAAUGUAGGAAACUCUGACUGGGGAUGGGCAGUAGUUUUGAAAAUCAUGCCCUAAGGUUUUUAUCUCGUGCUGAACCAAGCAAGUGCCCUGAAACCAUCGGAGCAGCUGCAGGGGCUGAAGGGAACAGGAAGGGCUCUCCGGCACCUUUUGCCUCCGUUCUCUGCCAUUCUCCGUCGCAGUCCCGGAAGAGGCAUCUGUCAUGCAGCCUGCCAAAAUGAAGACCUGUAAAAUCCGAGCUCUGCCUUUUGUUCAAGGUGUUUUUACUUCAUAUUUAUGUCAUCACAGAAAGCAAGGAAAGAAGAAAUGUGACUGGUAACCACUAUUGCUCUGUACAGGCACUUUUAAAGGCUGCUGUACUUAUGUUCUCCUUUUCCACUCCAAGCUUGACUUUCCCUCUCAUAUUUCGAGGUCUGCCGCUUUGGGUGUCCCAAGGAGGGCAGGGUUCCUCAGCAGGGGUCUUAGGAGUUGGUGCUGAUUCUGCUUUUUCCAAAGGUGUAUCCAAGUGUGCUACCAAAACGACUAUUUUCUCCACGGGAAAGCUUUCUCUCAAUGACAAUCAAUGCAUGUAUGUGUUUUAACCGUGUAACCAGAUGGAUUAAGAAAAACCAACACCCGUAGUAGAUUUCUGCUUGAUCUGUGUCUGUAAGAAGUGGGCUGUGUGCUAGAGAGUGAGAGACGCUGUUGGAGAGUGGCAACAGCCCCAGGUGUGAGCUGUGAGGAUGGGGAGGGCUCAGAGCAGCCCCAGGUGUGAGCUGUGAGGAUGGGGAGGGCUCAGAGCAGCCCCAGGUGUGAGCUGUGAGGAUGAGGAGGGCUCAGAGCAGCCCCAGGUGUGAGCUGUGAGGAUGGGGAGGGCUCAGAGCAGCCCCAGGUGUGAGCUGUGAGGAUGAGGAGGAGGGGGCGGCUCCUGCCGGGGGGAGGUUGUUUUAGGGAGAGGGUUUGCUUCAGCUGGCUUUUGUAUGGUGCUGCUGCUGGAGAAGGGGAGUUUAUGGGGAGCUCCCGGGCCUGUCUCAUGGAAGGACGAUGGGUGCUUGGGACAGGGUCUGGGGGAUCACCUGGAUAUGCACUUGUGUACGUGGAGCCUUGCUCAAAGGAGGUGCCGAGGGACAAACUUUUGUGCCGAGAAACAGCAGCCAAACAGGUGAGCCGGUGUGCCUUUGUCGUGGGGACUUUUCUCCUUUCCCUUUUAAAUUUCAUCUUGCCAAUCCCUCCCAGUUGCCCCCAGGAAAAAAAGAAAAAAAAAAAAAAGGAUUUUGAGGACAAAAGAAAUUCAAAUUGAGGGUACCGGUGUCUGAACUAGUGGGGGAUUCCCCUUCACUUGUGGUUUUGAGGGUAGUGAUUGAAGGAAAACCUGCCUUUUCCAGGGUGUUAGGGAUAUCACAGGGGAGACAGAGAAUCCCUGUGUUGCCUUUUAAAUGGAAGGGGAAAAAUAUUGUUGUCGUAUGAUGGGUUUGACUUGAGGGUAGCUCCCCACCCUUUUCUUCAUCCUGAGGUUGAAACGGAGGGGGCUGCCCUGUUGUCCUUCCUUUUAAAGGGUUUGAAUUGAGGCAAAAAUCCCCUUUUGCCAUCAUUUGAGGAAAGCUCCUUCUGCCCUUCUAGGGGAUGAAAUUGAAGGGAAGCCCACAUUUCUUUGCCCUGGUUGAAGUGAGGUGAGCGACUGAGUGUGGUGUCACUUUUGGCGCUUCAAAGGAAGGGAGCUGCAGCUGUGGCAGCGCUGGAAGGGUGGAAACUGGGCUGUGCUGCUGCAUUUGGGGGCACUUCUGCUGCCCCUGGUGCCGGGAGCACGGCUUCUCAUUUUCCAGCGUUCCUUGCUGUGGGGCUUUUGAGGAAUUUCUUGGAUCAUUUUCUUUUGUUCGUACUUGGUGUAUGAGGAGGGCCAUGGGGUACUUCUUGGUUGUUACAGUUCUUGCUCCAGGUGCUGAUGACAAGGGUUUUUUUGGAUUGAGCGUUGUUGUAGGAUUUCUUUUUGAUUGGUUCUUAUGUUUUUAAAGGAUGUGCUUUUAAAAGUUUACAGUGGUUUCUAUGGGUUGUAGCAUGAAGUAGAGGGUAGGUUUUUAAUUUGGUUGUGGAGGCUUUUAUUAGCGGGAGUAUGUAGUGUCUGUUUAGGUUGGUUUGAAGUAGUCCUGUAAUUAAUUAGUGAGGUUUUUUAAUAUUGAUAAUUGCAUUUUUGCUUAUUAUAUUAUAGGGGUUUGAUUCAUUUGCCUUAUUUGGUUGCCAUGUAUGUUUUAUUUUUGCAGAGAGUUUGGGAGAUAUUGUUUAUGGUUACAUUUAUCUUUUGGCCACGUGUUUAUUUCUAGGUGGUAUUUGUGUUUUGGUGAUUUGAGGCAUUAUGGGUUUCUUGAGUUAGGAAUAAUUAUUUUGUUGUUGUUAGUAUAAGCUUUUUGGUUGGUUUUUUUUUUGUAGUUUCAUGUAUUUGGUUGUCAUUUUUUAUUAAUUUUAUUUUUGGGAACAUGGGUAUUUCUCUGGUGGAUUUUUUAAGGGACACAUCCUUUGCCAAUUGGAUUUUUUGCAGGUGGCCGCCCCCUCAGGACCACAGGCCCCUGAGCACAAACACUGUCCCUUUUCCCUGGGAAAGAAAACUCGCCAGCCCAGGUCCCUGAUGUCAGUUUGCAGGAGGUGUUUGGCAUUGCCCCGGCAACCACAAUUGUAUUUUGCUGCAGCUUUGGUCGGGGAGAUCUGGGGUGCCCCCUU